RNAcentral lists this ribosomal RNA (425 nucleotides) under uncultured bacterium. Its description in RNAcentral is "bacterial SSU rRNA". It matches the Rfam family "Bacterial small subunit ribosomal RNA", at positions 356 to 773 of the family's 1533-position model. The record is from RNAcentral.
AGGGAAUCUUCGGCAAUGGACGAAAGUCUGACCGAGCAACGCCGCGUGUCUGAAGAAGGCCUUCGGGUUGUAAGGGACUUUUGUUAGGGAAGAAAAGCUCACUAAUAACACUAGUGAGUGCUGACGGUACCUAAAGAAUAAGCACCGGCUAACUACGUGCCAGCAGCCGCGGUAAUACGUAGGGUGCAAGCGUUAAUCGGAAUUACUGGGCGUAAAGCGAGCGCAGACGGUUAUUUAAGUCGGAUGUGAAAUCCCCGAGCUCAACUUGGGACGUGCAUUUGAAACUGGGUAACUAGAGUGUGUCAGAGGGAGGUAGAAUUCCACGUGUAGCAGUGAAAUGCGUAGAGAUGUGGAGGAAUACCGAUGGCGAAGGCAGCCUCCUGGGAUAACACUGACGUUCAUGCUCGAAAGCGUGGGUAGCAAAC